UACGUAGGGGGCAAGCGUUGUCCGGAUUUAUUGGGCGUAAAGAGCUCGUAGGCGGUUCGGUAAGUCAGGUGUGAAACCUCCAGGCUCAACCUGGAGACGCCACCUGAUACUGCUGUGACUCGAGUCCGGUAGGGGAGCGUGGAAUUCCUGGUGUAGCGGUGAAAUGCGCAGAUAUCAGGAGGAACACCAGCGGCGAAGGCGGCGCUCUGGGCCGGAACUGACGCUGAGGAGCGAAAGCGUGGGUAGCAAACAGG
This 254-nucleotide ribosomal RNA is filed under the name uncultured bacterium. RNAcentral's name for it is "partial 16S ribosomal RNA". It matches the Rfam family "Bacterial small subunit ribosomal RNA", at positions 524 to 776 of the family's 1533-position model. The record is from RNAcentral.